GUAGUUUUUCAGGAAUUUCUGCACCACCAAAUUCAGCACAUGCACCAGGCAAGGGAUGUGCGUCAAACCGGCAAGGCCCAGAGCUGCUACGAGAUUUCGCCCAUUAUCGCACACCACCAGGCCGGGCUUGAGGCUCAGUAGCAACAAAAACUCAUUGGUCUGUUGUUCCAUGCCUGUCUACAGCUCCUGCACAGUUUUCCCCCCAAACAUAUGAG
Molecule: non-coding RNA, 215 nt
Organism: Pelobates cultripes (western spadefoot toad)
Lineage: Eukaryota; Metazoa; Chordata; Amphibia; Anura; Pelobatidae
Source: the annotation of a GenBank genome assembly